CAAAUCAUCAUGCCCCUUAUGACCUGGGCUACACACGUGCUACAAUGGACAGAACAAAGGGUAGCGAAACCGCGAGGUUAAGCCAAUCCCACAAAUCUGUUCUCAGUUCGGAUCGCAGUCUGCAACUCGACUGCGUGAAGCUGGAAUCGCUAGUAAUCGCGGAUCAGCAUGCCGCGGUGAAUACGUUCCCGGGCCUUGUACACACCGCCCGUCACACCACGAGAGUUUGUAACACCCGAAGUCGGUGAGGUAACCUUUUAGGAGCCAGCCGCCGAAGGUGGGACAGAUGAUUGGGGUGAAGUCGUANCAAGAGGCC
This 316-nucleotide ribosomal RNA is filed under the name Bacillus subtilis. RNAcentral's name for it is "bacterial SSU rRNA". It matches the Rfam family "Bacterial small subunit ribosomal RNA", at positions 1186 to 1500 of the family's 1533-position model. Lineage: Bacteria; Bacillati; Bacillota; Bacilli; Caryophanales; Bacillaceae. The record is from RNAcentral.